Long non-coding RNA from Thunnus maccoyii (southern bluefin tuna), 2025 nucleotides. RefSeq lists it as uncharacterized. Lineage: Eukaryota; Metazoa; Chordata; Actinopteri; Scombriformes; Scombridae. The transcript has 4 exons. The record is from RefSeq and is a predicted model, not a curated record.
UACGCUUCACUAAACAGGACUCAGAGCGUAAAAAAAACGAGGGGGGUCUCCAUGUCCUUUGUCCUUUGUCAUACAAUACGAGGUAACGAGAAACACAAACAAUCAACAGGUCCGCCAUUGUCAUUAGUUGGAACAUGACGUCUGUUCCGCACAAUGUGAUUGGAUGAUGCUUUUAUUCGCAGUUCUAGUGUUAAUGUACUCAUGACAAAAACAACAGUAUGAAAAAAUAUAUUGAUGUGUGAAUUACACAAAAAAAAACUUUAGGGUGUCAUUCCUAUAAUAUUAGUUUGGUGUGUUUGUACAGUGUGUCUGGGGUAUGUAGCACUGAGUUUAUAGUGGCCUCAACAAAAGUUAUCUUUGAUUUUUAUCUCCUAUGGUUUUAUUGCAAUCUGUAGGGUUUAAAAGUGUGUCUGUGCUGUCUAAUGUCGAGUUUAUAGUGGCUUUAUUUAAAUUUUUGGUGACUUUAUCUUCGUCGUAUGACUUUGACUUGAUUGUAGCUGCUGUCAUUUAAAACGUUUUUGUGAUUUUUCUCUAUAGCAACUUUCUAAAAUGGAUUACAGGGUUAUUAUAGUCCUUAUUAGAGCUAAUAAAAACAUGUAAGAGUGUAUUUAUUUAGUGUUUAUUCAGCCUACAGAUUGCAUUCCCACAGUCCAAGUAAUAUAUAGAGCUUAUAAAGAGCCAGGCUAGCUGUUUCCUCCUGCCUCCUGUAUUUAUGCUAGGUUUCCAUACUUAGAGUUUAUUACAACUUUGGUCUCAUUUUCUAAGUUUCUAGUGGUAAUAUCAACAUUGUACUCACCAAGAAGUGCUGCAGUUUAAGAAACAUGAGAAGUCAGGCACUAGUACAGGCUGUUAACAAACCCCCCGGUUAGCCAGACUGGUGUGGAAGCGAAAAUGUAAGUGAACGGGCAACAGACAACUUUCUGAUUCAACUUUGACCUACUGUACUUGCUGUAGUUGUGUGUGCACAGUUUUCUUGCGUAAUGAUGGAUUAAUAGUAACAUUACACUUGCACUCACCUUCAAUUUUAACUCCAAAUAAAGUGGUUUAGAUAAUCUGGCUAAACUGCUGCUUGUCUGACCACUCAUGUUUCUUGUCCCUGUUAUAUUUUGCUGUCUUCUUGUUCCCAGAUCUCAGCUAUUACGUGAGUGAACAUGUCAUUAUCAUAACAGAACAAUGUUACAUAAAUAAACCCCAAGCUCUAAUAAACUGGAAUCAUCGUUUAAAGCACAGUCAUAAGAUUAAUAACAAUUUCCCCAUCUCAUUCUCAGGAAGAAGCAGUCACCACUUUCUAAUAAGGCUACAAGUUCAUGAAUGGGAGAGAGAGAAGCGGAGAGUCCUGGAGUGCAAGAACAUGUGGAAGAUUUUCAUUUUUUUUAAAUCAUUAAUCAAGCAACAAGACUAACAGUCUACAGCCGCUGUGAGGAUGCACUGUGCUUAGGUACAGCGGUGCUUUGAGGAAAAUGGCAAAGUCAGCAUGCUAACAUGCUCCCAGUGACAAUGCUAACAUGCUGAUGUUUAACAGUCUGAACUGAAGAGGUGGACUGACUGACUGAGUGACUGACAUUGCCAUCCCUAGAGGCUGUCAGUGGUUCCAGCCUCUCAAAUGUAAGCAUUUCUGUUUUUUGUUUUGUUUUGUUUCUCAGUUUUAUUUCAUUGUGACUGUGAUAUCUUUAUUGGUAAGUAGUCUGGAGCUUUCAAUAAUAUCACAUGAACAUCAUGAGCUCGUAGAGUUUUCCCAGUUGUCAUUACUUUUGAGGUGUUCAAAUUUCCAUUAUUUAUGAGCAUAUUAAAGACUUGUUGUGCAUGUUGGCUUAAACGCUGUGGUUCAGAGUUUAUUUUCAACCCUGUAAACAGCAGUUGGGAAAAUUGUUUCACUGAAUUUAAUAGCUGUUUUGGAUCUUUUAAUCACAUGAUCUCAUCACAAGGUUGAUGCGGUAACUUUUUUGGAGCUUUCGAUCAUAUCACAUGUACUUCAUCAGAAGAUGGAGUUUGUAGAUGUCAAAUUUAAAUCUUUUCUAAGCACAU